Molecule: ribosomal RNA, 722 nt
Filed under: uncultured Acaulospora
Lineage: Eukaryota; Fungi; Glomeromycota; Glomeromycetes; Diversisporales; Acaulosporaceae
Description: eukaryotic LSU rRNA
Rfam family: Eukaryotic large subunit ribosomal RNA
Source: RNAcentral
GCAUAUCAAUAAGCGGAGGAAAAGAAACUAACAAGGAUUCCCUUAGUAACGGCGAGUGAAGCGGGAAGAGCUCAAAUUUUAAAUCUCCGAGGUUUCCUCGGCGAGUUGUAAUUUGAAGAGAGUGUUUUGACGUUCGGGUUUAAUCCAAAUCCUUUGGGAUAAGGUAUCAUAGAGGGUGAGAAUCCCGUUUAUGAUUGAAUCUCGAGUGUCGCUCAAUUCACUUUCCAAGAGUCGAGUUGUUUGGGAUUGCAGCUCAAAACGGGUGGUAAAUUUCACCUAAGGCUAAAUAUGUGCAAGAGACCGAUAGCGAACAAGUACCGUGAGGGAAAGAUGAAAAGAACUUUGAAAAGAGAGUUAAAUAGUACGUGAAAUUGUUGAAAGGGAAACGAUUGAAGUCAGUCAUGCUAGUGAGGAAUCAACCUGAUGGUGUGUGGGUUCUCCCUCGUACUUUCCGGUGCACUUCCUCACCCGGCAGGUUAGCAUCAAUUUCGGUUAUCAUAAAAAAUUUGAGAGAAUGUGGCUUUCCUUCGGAAAGUGUUAUAGAUCUCGAUCUAUGUGGUGACCGGGAUUGAGGAUUGCAGCGGAUACCCUCGUGGCUCGUCACCUGACUUCUGACGGUUACCCCGCUUUCGAUAGCUCGCUAACGUUAGUGGGACUCGAUUGUCUAGAUGUCAGAGUGAUUGAUUUUCGCUAAGGAUGCUGACGUAAUGGCUUUAAACGAC